AACGCACCUUGCGCCUUUUGGCUAUUCCGAAGGGCAUGCCUGUUUGAGUAUCAUGAACACCUCAACUCUCAUGGUUUGCCAUGAUGAGCUUGGACUUUGGAGGUCUUUGCUGGCCUACGGUCAGCUCCUCUCAAACGAAUUAGCUUGCCAGUGUUUGGUGGCAUCACAGGUGUGAUAACUAUCUACACUUGUGGUUUUCCACCAGAUAACCUUCAGCGAUGAAGGUUCGCUGGAGCUCACAAAUGUCUCUCCUCGGCGAGGACAGCUUUCUGAACGUUUGAUCUCAAAUCAGGUAGGACUACCCGCUGAACUUAA
This 315-nucleotide unclassified non-coding RNA is filed under the name uncultured fungus. RNAcentral describes it as "sequence contains ITS2". The record is from RNAcentral. Lineage: Eukaryota; Fungi.